Molecule: ribosomal RNA, 212 nt
Filed under: uncultured bacterium
Lineage: Bacteria
Description: partial 16S ribosomal RNA
Rfam family: Bacterial small subunit ribosomal RNA
Source: RNAcentral
CACCUACCUACUAACAGGAGUAUAGCUCGGGGAAACUCGAAUUAACCCUCCAUAGUAUAAUUGAAUGGCAUCAUUUGAUUAUUAAAACUGAGGUGGUUAUAGAUGGGCAUGCGUCUGAUUAGCUAGUUGGCGGGGUAAUGGCCCACCAAGGCGAUGAUCAGUAGGGGAACUGAGAGGUUGAUCCCCCACACUGGCACUGAGAUACGGGCCAG